GGUUUCCUGGCUGAGUGGUCUAAGGCGUUGGAUUUAGGCUUCAGUCUCUUUGGAGGUGUGGGUUCGAAUCCCACCGCUGCCA
Loxodonta africana (African savanna elephant) is the source of this 82-nucleotide transfer RNA. It matches the Rfam family "tRNA". From Rfam's summary of the family: Transfer RNA (tRNA) molecules are approximately 80 nucleotides in length. Their secondary structure includes four short double-helical elements and three loops (D, anti-codon, and T loops). Further hydrogen bonds mediate the characteristic L-shaped molecular structure. tRNAs have two regions of fundamental functional importance: the anti-codon, which is responsible for specific mRNA codon recognition, and the 3' end, to which the tRNAs corresponding amino acid is attached (by aminoacyl-tRNA synthetases). tRNAs cope with the degeneracy of the genetic code in two manners: having more than one tRNA (with a specific anti-codon) for a particular amino acid; and 'wobble' base-pairing, i.e. permitting non-standard base-pairing at the 3rd anti-codon position. The record is from Rfam. NCBI's taxonomy places the organism in Eukaryota, Metazoa, Chordata, Mammalia, Proboscidea, Elephantidae.